ACUCCUGCGGGAGGCAGCAGUGGGGAAUAUUGGACAAUGGGCGCAAGCCUGAUCCAGCCAUGCCGCGUGAGUGAUGAAGGCCCUAGGGUUGUAAAGCUCUUUCACCGGUGAAGAUAAUGACGGUAACCGGAGAAGAAGCCUCGGCUAACUUCGUGCCAGCAGCCGCGGUAAUACGAAGGGGGCUAGCGUUGUUCGGAUUUACUGGGCGUAAAGCGCACGUAGGCGGACUAUUAAGUCAGGGGUGAAAUCCCGGGGCUCAACCCCGGAACUGCCUUUGAUACUGGUAGUCUUGAGUUCGAGAGAGGUGAGUGGAAUUCCGAGUGUAGAGGUGAAAUUCGUAGAUAUUCGGAGGAACACCAGUGGCGAAGGCGGCUCACUGGCUCGAUACUGACGCUGAGGUGCGAAAGCGUGGGGAGCAAACAGGAUUAGAAACCCGUGUAGUCCCAUGAU
Molecule: ribosomal RNA, 450 nt
Filed under: uncultured organism
Description: partial 16S ribosomal RNA
Rfam family: Bacterial small subunit ribosomal RNA
Source: RNAcentral